AUUAACCUUACUCAUUGGCCAUAUAAAGGAGGGAGUAGUUGCGCCUAAUGAAACUCUCUCAGUUUUCGAAUUAGACCAAAAGUGAAAAAACAAGUUUAAAAAAAAGAAGAUUGGACCUUUUUUUCUUCUCCAAGUUAACACUUCCUGCAACUUUUUCCAACCUCAUAACCGAUAUCACAAACCCUGCAACAAAAACUUGGUAACACCUUACUAACCCCCCUCUCUUUAAGUCCACACCUUACCUCCAAUUUCUUCUCACAUAACCA
RNAcentral lists this long non-coding RNA (266 nucleotides) under Lathyrus oleraceus (garden pea). Its description in RNAcentral is "Pisum sativum (pea) long non-coding RNA (PSAT_LNC013213)". Lineage: Eukaryota; Viridiplantae; Streptophyta; Magnoliopsida; Fabales; Fabaceae. The record is from RNAcentral.